CGGUGGCGACUCGGGAGAAGGAGGAGAAGGAGAAGGAGCAGGGCCAGUAGGAGGCAGCGGAGGCGAUCGGGCCAGGGUGAUGGUGCAGGUGCCCCCGGCGGGCGCGGAGCUGCCGGGCUGAGGGGCGCCUGGUCCAGGGUCCGCAGCGCCGCCGCGUCGCUCUCAGGGACGGGCGAGCGGGCGGGAAGAUGCUGAGCAGGUUGAUGAGCGGCAGCAGCAGGAGCCUGGAGCGCGAGUACAGCUGCACCGUGCGGCUGCUGGACGACAGCGAGUACACCUGCACCAUUCAGAGAGAUGCCAAAGGCCAGUACCUGUUUGACCUUCUUUGCCACCACCUGAACCUACUUGAGAAAGACUAUUUUGGGAUCCGCUUUGUGGACCCAGAUAAGCAGCGGCAUUGGUUGGAGUUUACAAAGUCGGUUGUGAAGCAACUGAGAUCCCAGCCUCCAUUCACCAUGUGCUUCCGUGUGAAAUUUUACCCUGCAGACCCUGCUGCUCUGAAAGAAGAAAUAACCAGGUAUUUAGUCUUCCUACAGAUCAAAAGGGAUCUCUACCAUGGCCGCCUCCUCUGUAAAACAUCUGAUGCUGCCUUGUUAGCAGCUUAUAUACUUCAAGCCGAGAUUGGAGAUUACGACCCAGGGAAACAUCCUGAAGGUUACAGCUCCAAGUUCCAAUUUUUUCCUAAACAUUCAGAGAAGCUGGAAAAGAAAAUUGCUGAAAUUCACAAGACAGAACUCAGUGGUCAAACACCAGCAACAUCAGAGUUGAACUUCUUAAGAAAAGCACAGACAUUGGAGACUUACGGGGUGGAUCCUCACCCAUGUAAGGAUGUGUCAGGAAAUGCUGCAUUUCUGGCCUUUACUCCUUUUGGGUUUGUUGUUCUUCAAGGAAACAAGAGGGUCCACUUCAUUAAAUGGAAUGAGGUGACCAAGCUGAAAUUUGAAGGAAAGACUUUCUAUUUAUAUGUAAGUCAGAAAGAGGAAAAGAAAAUUAUUCUCACAUAUUUUGCUCCAACUCCAGAAGCCUGCAAGCACCUCUGGAAAUGUGGAAUUGAGAACCAAGCCUUCUACAAGCUGGAGAAGUCAAGCCAAGUCCGCACAGUGUCCAGCAGCAAUUUAUUCUUUAAAGGGAGCCGGUUCCGAUACAGUGGCCGAGUUGCAAAGGAAGUGAUGGAGUCGAGUGCCAAGAUCAAACGAGAGCCACCGGAAAUACACAGAGCAGGGAUGGUUCCCAGCCGGAGCUGUCCUUCCAUAACCCAUGGCCCACGGCUGAGCAGUGUCCCCAGGACCCGCAGAAGAGCUGUACACAUCUCCAUCAUGGAAGGCCUGGAGUCCCUACGGGACAGUGCCCACUCCACCCCGGUGCGUUCUUCUUCCCACGGGGACACCUUUCUGCCUCAUGUGAGAAGCAGCCGGGCAGACAGCAAUGAGCGAGUAGCGGUGAUUGCGGAUGAGGCCUACAGCCCUGCAGAUAGCGUGCUGCCCACCCCUGUGGCUGAGCACAGCCUGGAGCUGAUGCUGCUCUCCCGGCAGAUCAAUGGAGCCACCUGCAGCAUUGAGGAGGAGAAGGAGUCUGAGGCCAGCACCCCAACUGCUGCAGAGGUGGAGGCCCUGGGAGGAGAGCUGAGGGCCCUGUGUCAGGGGCACGGCAGGCCAGAGGAGGAACAGGUGAAUAAGUUUGUUUUAAGUGUCCUCCGUUUGCUCCUUGUGACCAUGGGACUCCUCUUUGUUUUGCUCCUCCUCCUGAUCAUCCUUACCGAGUCUGACCUUGACAUUGCCUUUUUCCGCGAUAUCCGCCAGACCCCCGAGUUUGAACAAUUCCACUAUCAAUACUUUUGUCCCCUCAGGCGAUGGUUUGCCUGCAAAAUCCGCUCAGUGGUGAGCCUGCUCAUUGACACCUGAGAAGGCAUGACUCCUCCCAAUAACUAGCCAGGUGGACCAAGGAGCCCGGCUACCCAUUCCCAGCAAUGGGACCCAUCGCGGAACCAUCGGCACAUAUACCAAGUCCUCCUUUCAUGACUCAAAGUCCACUGCAGCCUAGGAGGGUUAUUUCCCAGAAGAAGAAAGGGAUAGGCUCACGCCCUGUCUAAACAAACUGGGAAAACUCAUUUUCUUCAGAGAUUCUUUCAAGAAAGGCUCAGCAACUCUUUCUCAUCCUUCAAUUUUGCAGGAUAAUUUUUGGUUUUGAAUUUUGAUUUUUCAUAGAUGUGUAUUAUUUUGAAAGUAUCAAAUAAAAAUAAUUUAUUUUACUAUAACUGAUUAUUGCAGUAGUGUCACCUAGCAGAUGGAAUGCUAGUUGAAGACAAGAGAGCUGUUGUUGUCCUCUGUAUUCUGCAGGCAUUUUUCUACUGGUGCCACUGGGUUCCGGGAGACAUCACUGCAGCCUCAGCGGGGCAGGUCAGGGGUCUGGACAAUGGGGACUGUUUAGGUUUUCUUGCCAGACAAAACUUUUUUUAAAAGUCAACAUCCAUGUAGAAUGAUUAAAUGGAAAGUUGCUUCUUUUGAUGGUCUGAGUUGGAUUUUCUUUUCCUUUUGUUUUUUUCAAAUCUGAGCAGAGUGGGCAUCUGAAGGGACCACCGGUACAGCAGUAACACAGCAGGGGUGGGAAAAUAGAACCUGAUGAACUAAAUGAUGCAAGAAAGAAACUGAUCCUGAGAAGGAAAAACGUCAGAAAAUAGAAUUCCAAGAUCAACAAACAGCCUUGGAAGGGACAAGGAAAAGAGUCUUUUAAAAAUAAGAUUUCUAAGAGAUGCCUACAAAAGACAGAAGGUGAACUUGGCAGAGACUAACACUUAGAUGUAGAAAUGCUGCCCCCUAGGGUCAUCCUGCACAUCGGGAAAUAAGUUCCAAGAAGGCACUGGUCAUCCUUGCUGAGGGAAGCCCUGGAUGUUCACAGAAGCACAGGUCCACAGAUGGUGAGUGUGAGUCCCUAAGGCCCGAGCUCUGCAACUCUUAAAACCAAUCACACACAAAAUCUUGUUCUCAUCUCAGGGAGAGAUUUCUAAGUCAUCUGGGGCCUGAGGACUUAUUUAAGGAUAGUCAGUGGUCAUAUUCCUGGGACCCACACAGUAGUGAAGCAGCUGCCGACACUAUGAUGUUGGACAGCCCCAAAUGCUGAACAGAAAGAGUCACUUAUAGAUUUGAUCUCCCCUGUUUUGUCCCCUGAAAUGGUAGAACCAAUUCCGUGUUCAGAAUAUAACAGCCAUGGAAAAUUCAGGGUUUUGCAGGGUGAGGGGGGAGAGUGGAUUUGUCUAAUUUUAAAGAAAGAUACCCUUUUCUUCUAGACCACAGGUCAAGAAACGUCAUCUGAAAAGUGCCAGAUAGUAAUUUUUUUUUUCUUUGUUCUGUCACAAUUAACUCUGCCAUCACAGCACAAAAAUAGCCAUGGAUUAUGUGGGUAUGAAGGAGCAUAGCUGUGUUCCAAUACUACUAUAAAAAGACAGUAUGCUGAAUUUGGCCCACGGGCCAUAAUAUGCCAACCCUGAUCUAGACAAUAAAACUGACCACUAUGGAGAAGAGGGUCAGCUCUGCUCCAAUUCCUGGCAUGUGUUAAAGACCUAGGGCCUUUUCCCAGUGGAAACACUAGGGUUGCUUGUUUACAGGGUGCUCAAACAACCAACCAGCAAAGAUGUCUGAAGCCAAGAUGAGCAAGAUCAAGUCCUGGAAUGCUAAAACAUGGCAAAUCUAAAAAUGGAAGUGGGCCUAUCUGAUCAUUUCCAUACCAGCAACAAUUUGGGCAGAAUUGCAAACAUACUUAUCAAGUGACAUGACAAACUGAAGGAGAUCCUAGUAAAGAUUAAGGAUCACUUAAACCAACUAGCCACUGCCACUUGUCAUCUACAUAGCAAAGGCUUUAUUUAGCAUAGGACUAAAGUGAAAAGUAGACCCAGAGAGGAAAAGGCUGUCAGGAGACAGGGAGCUGCUGUUAACCUGGAUAUCUACUGUCUUCUGCAACAUAGAUUACCUUCUAGUGUAGUGCUCCUACCUCAGUCUGUAGAACUCGGUGUCUCUAUGCAGUGAGAGCCUUGCUCUGACCUUUCACAUCCACACUAGAGAUGCAGUAUCCCAUUGCCUGGUGUGUUACUUGUGUCUAGAGUUCUAACAGUGCAGUAGUUUGUACCAUUUCCAGCAGUUGAACAGAAACUUGUGGGAUUUUUUUUUUUUUUUUCAGGGCUUUCCCCAGAAAAUAUGGAUAGAAAAGUUUCCUUCAAUUUGCUUUUCAAAUUGUGCUUGAAUAACAAACCUCCUUUAUUGGUAACUAGUCUUUUUUGAUAUCUCCCACCAUUAAAAAUUAUUCGAGUUUUUAAUCUUGUUUUAUGUGUUCUAUCUACCAUGUCUCUCAUUUUAUCUUACUGUAGAAAAAGUAAUGGUUUCCAUAGCAUCAUCUUUCAGAGGAAAUAACUUUUUCUGAAAAUAGUGAACUGCAUCUUUAAGCAGUAGAGGGUAAACUACCUGCAAAUGUGAAUUUCUUAGUUUCAUUUAAAAAUAUAUAGUUGUUAACCUUUCGUGUGCCAAAAACUCUUGAGUUACAUUUUCCUUCAAAGCAAUGUACUUUUUUCUACAUAUGCAGUAUGUAGUUAGCAUAAAAUCAUUGGUGCCAUGAAAAUUAUUUUUAACUUAAAUAAAUAUUUAAAUACC
Molecule: RNA transcript, 4637 nt
Organism: Sciurus carolinensis (gray squirrel)
Lineage: Eukaryota; Metazoa; Chordata; Mammalia; Rodentia; Sciuridae
Gene: Frmd5
Gene name: FERM domain containing 5
Exons: 15
Source: RefSeq, a predicted model, not a curated record